Molecule: ribosomal RNA, 301 nt
Filed under: uncultured bacterium
Lineage: Bacteria
Description: partial 16S ribosomal RNA
Rfam family: Bacterial small subunit ribosomal RNA
Source: RNAcentral
CAGCAGCCGCGGGAAUACGAAGGGGGCUAGCGUUACUCGGAAUUACUGGGCGUAAAGGGCGCGUAGGCGGCGCUCCAAGUUAGGCGUGAAGGUCCUGGGCUCAACCUGGGAACUGCGCUUAAGACUGGAGUGCUUGAGGAUGGAAGAGGGUUGUGGAAUUCCCAGUGUAGAGGUGAAAUUCGUAGAUAUUGGGAAGAACACCGGUGGCGAAGGCGGCAACCUGGUCCAUUACUGACGCUGAGGCGCGACAGCGUGGGGAGCAAACAGGAUUAGAUACCCCCGUAGUCCCUGUCUCUUAUAC